CUAGUACUUCCUCCGUUCGGAAAUACUUGUCGGAGAAAUGCAUAAAAAUGGAUGUAUCUAAAACUAAAAUCCAUCUAGAUACAUCCAUUCCUCCGACAAGUAUUCCGGACGGAGGAAGUAUAUA
Non-coding RNA from Triticum aestivum (bread wheat), 124 nucleotides. NCBI's taxonomy places the organism in Eukaryota, Viridiplantae, Streptophyta, Magnoliopsida, Poales, Poaceae. The record is from Rfam.